GAUGAACGCUGGCGGCGUGCCUAAUACAUGCAAGUCGAGCGAACAGACGAGGAGCUUGCUCCUCUGACGUUAGCGGCGGACGGGAGAGUAACACGUGGAUAACCUACCUAUAAGACUGGGAUAACUUCGGGAAACCGGAGCUAAUACCGGAUAAUAUAUUGAACCGCAUGGUUCAAUAGUGAAAGACGGUUUUGCUGUCACUUAUAGAUGGAUCCGCGCCGCAUUAGCUAGUUGGUAAGGUAACGGCUUACCAAGGCGACGAUGCGUAGCCGACCUGAGAGGGUGAUCGGCCACACUGGAACUGAGACACGGUCCAGGCUCCUACGGGAGGCAGCAGUAGGGAAUCUUCCGCAAUGGGCGAAAGCCUGACAGAGCAACGCCGCGUGAGUGAUGAAGGUCUUCGGAUCGUAAAACUCUGUUAUUAGGGAAGAACAAAUGUGUAAGUAACUAUGCACGUCUUGACGGUACCUAAUCAGAAAGCCACGGCUAACUACGUG
RNAcentral lists this ribosomal RNA (497 nucleotides) under uncultured bacterium. RNAcentral describes it as "partial 16S ribosomal RNA". It matches the Rfam family "Bacterial small subunit ribosomal RNA", at positions 28 to 507 of the family's 1533-position model. The record is from RNAcentral.